RNAcentral lists this ribosomal RNA (466 nucleotides) under uncultured bacterium. RNAcentral describes it as "partial 16S ribosomal RNA". It matches the Rfam family "Bacterial small subunit ribosomal RNA", at positions 28 to 507 of the family's 1533-position model. The record is from RNAcentral.
GAUGAACGCUGGCGGCGUGCUUAACACAUGCCAGUCGAACGGAAAGGCCACAGCUUGCUGUGGUACUCGAGUGGCGAACGGGUGAGUAACACGUGGGUGAUCUGCCCUGUACUUCGGGAUAAGCUUGGGGAACUGGGUCUAAUACCGGAUAGGAAUCACAUGUGGGUGUGUGGUUGGAAAGCUUUUGCGGUAUGGGAUGAGCUCGCGGCCUAUCAGCUUGUUGGUGGGGUAAUGGCCUACCAAGGCGUCGACGGGUAGCCGGCCUGAGAGGGUGUACGGCCACAUUGGGACUGAGAUACGGCCCAGACUCCUACGGGAGGCAGCAGUGGGGAAUAUUGCACAAUGGGCGCAAGCCUGAUGCAGCGACGCCGCGUGGGGGAUGACGGCCUUCGGGUUGUAAACUCCUUUCGUCAGGGACGAAGCGAAAGUGACGGUACCUGGAUAAGAAGCACCGGCUAACUACGUG